RNAcentral lists this ribosomal RNA (301 nucleotides) under uncultured bacterium. RNAcentral's name for it is "partial 16S ribosomal RNA". It matches the Rfam family "Bacterial small subunit ribosomal RNA", at positions 509 to 807 of the family's 1533-position model. The record is from RNAcentral.
CAGCCGCCACGGUAACACGUAGGUGGCAAGCGUUGUCCGGAAUUAUUGGGCGUAAAGGGCUCGCAGGCGGUUUCUUAAGUCUGAUGUGAAAGCCCCCGGCUCAACCGGGGAGGGUCAUUGGAAACCGGGAAACUUGAGUGCAGAAGAGGAGAGUGGAAUUCCACGUGUAGCGGUGAAAUGCGUAGAGAUGUGGAGGAACACCAGUGGCGAAGGCGACUCUCUGGUCUGUAACUGACGCUGGGGAGCGAAAGCGUGGGGAGCGAACAGGAUUAGAUACCCGCGUAGUCCCUGUCUCUUAUAC